UAACUGAAGAGUUUGAUCAUGGCUCAGAUUGAACGCUGGCGGCAGGCCUAAGACAUGCAAGUCGAACGGUAACGACACUAGCUUGCUAGUGGUCGACGAGUGGCGGACGGGUGAGUAACGCGUAGGAAUCUACCUAGUAGUGGGGGAUAGCCAAGGGAAACUUUGGGUAAUACCGCAUACGAUCUAAGGAUGAAAGGGGGCCUCUCUUUGAAGCUCUCGCUAUUAGAUGAGCCUGCGUAAGAUUAGCUUGUUGGUGGGGUAAUAGCCCACCAAGGCGACGAUCUUUAGCUGGUCUGAGAGGAUGAUCAGUCACACUGGAACUGAGACACGGUCCAGACUCCUACGGGAGGCAGCAGUCGGGAAUAUUGGACAAUGGGGGAAACCCUGAUCCAGCCAUGCCGCGUGUGUGAAGAAGGCCCUAGGGUUGUAAAGCACUUUUAGUAGUGAGGAAGGCUCAGUAGUUAAUACCUGCUGGGAUUGACGUUAGCUACAGAAAAAGCACCGGCUAAUUUCGUGCCAGCAGCCGCGGUAAUACGAAAGGUGCAAGCGUUAAUCGGAAUUACUGGGCGUAAAGCGCGCGUAGGCGGCUUGGUAAGUUGGAUGUGAAAGCCCCGGGCUCAACCUGGGAACUGCAUCCAAAACUGCCUAGCUAGAGUAUGGUAGAGGAUGGCGGAAUUUCCUGUGUAGCGGUGAAAUGCGUAGAUAUAGGAAGGAACAUCAGUGGCGAAGGCGGCCAUCUGGACCAAUACUGACGCUGAGGUGCGAAAGCGUGGGGAGCAAACAGGAUUAGAUACCCUGGUAGUCCACGCCGUAAACGAUGAGAACUAGCCGUUGGACAUCUUGCAUGUUUAGUGGCGCAGCUAACGCGAUAAGUUCUCCGCCUGGGGAGUACGGCCGCAAGGUUAAAACUCAAAUGAAUUGACGGGGGCCCGCACAAGCGGUGGAGCAUGUGGUUUAAUUCGACGCAACGCGAAGAACCUUACCUACACUUGACAUCCUCGGAACUUUCUAGAGAUAGAUUGGUGCCUUCGGGAACCGAGUGACAGGUGCUGCAUGGCUGUCGUCAGCUCGUGUCGUGAGAUGUUGGGUUAAGUCCCGUAACGAGCGCAACCCUUAUCCUUAAUUGCCAGCGGUUAGGCCGGGAACUCUAAGGAGACUGCCGAUGACAAAUCGGAGGAAGGUGGGGACGACGUCAAGUCAUCAUGGCCCUUACGUGUAGGGCUACACACGUGCUACAAUGGCCGGUACAAACGGUUGCGAACCCGCGAGGGGAAGCUAAUCCGAGAAAGCCGGUCGUAGUCCGGAUUGGGGUCUGCAACUCGACCCCAUGAAGUCGGAAUCGCUAGUAAUCGUGAAUCAGAAUGUCACGGUGAAUACGUUCCCGGGCCUUGUACACACCGCCCGUCACACCAUGGGAGUGGGUUGCACCAGAAGUGGCUAGUCUAACUUAGGAGGACGGUCACCACGGUGUGAUUCAUGACUGGGGUGAAGUCGUAACAAGGUAACCGUAGGGGAACCUGCGGUUGGAUCACCUCCUUA
RNAcentral lists this ribosomal RNA (1539 nucleotides) under Litorivicinaceae bacterium. Its description in RNAcentral is "bacterial SSU rRNA". It matches the Rfam family "Bacterial small subunit ribosomal RNA". Lineage: Bacteria; Pseudomonadati; Pseudomonadota; Gammaproteobacteria; Oceanospirillales; Litorivicinaceae. The record is from RNAcentral.